GACGAACGCUGGCGGCGUGCCUAAUACAUGCAAGUCGAGCGAAUUUACGAGAGCUUGCUCUCGUAAAUUAGCGGCGGACGGGUGAGUAACACGUGGGCAACCUGCCUAUAAGACUGGGAUAACUUCGGGAAACCGGAGCUAAUACCGGAUAAUUCACAUCUACUCAUGUAGAUGUGCUGAAAGAUGGUUUACGCUGUCACUUAUAGAUGGGCCCGCGGCGCAUUAGCUAGUUGGUGAGGUAACGGCUCACCAAGGCCACGAUGCGUAGCCGACCUGAGAGGGUGAUCGGCCACACUGGGACUGAGACACGGCCCAGACUCCUACGGGAGGCAGCAGUAGGGAAUCUUCCGCAAUGGACGAAAGUCUGACGGAGCAACGCCGCGUGAGUGAUGAAGGUCUUCGGAUCGUAAAACUCUGUUGUUAGGGAAGAACAAGUACCAGAGUAACUGCUGGUACCUUGACGGUACCUAACCAGAAAGCCACGGCUAACUACGUGCCAGCAGCCGCGGUAAUACGUAGGUGGCAAGCGUUGUCCGAAUUAUUGGGCGUAAAGCGCGCGCAGGCGGUCCCUUAAGUCUGAUGUGAAAGCCC
This 591-nucleotide ribosomal RNA is filed under the name uncultured bacterium. Its description in RNAcentral is "bacterial SSU rRNA". It matches the Rfam family "Bacterial small subunit ribosomal RNA", at positions 28 to 603 of the family's 1533-position model. The record is from RNAcentral.